This 301-nucleotide unclassified non-coding RNA is filed under the name uncultured fungus. RNAcentral describes it as "sequence contains ITS1". The stretch from base 1 to 105 matches the Rfam family "5.8S ribosomal RNA", at positions 50 to 154 of the family's 154-position model. The record is from RNAcentral. Lineage: Eukaryota; Fungi.
GAAAUGCGAUACGUAGUGUGAAUUGCAGACUUCCGUGAAUCAUCGAAUCUUUGAACGCACAUUGCGCCCUCUGGUAUUCCGGAGGGCAUGCCUGUCUGAGCGUCAACUCAUCCUCAAACAUAUGUUUGGUCUUGGAAGACGAGAGUCUAUGGCCCUCGCUUCUGGAAACUAUUGGCAGUGGCUCACGCUUUCGCAACGUAGUAAGCACAUAUUCGUUGCAUUGUUUGCUUGAGAAGCUUGCCAUGAACCCAAAUUACUCAUGUUUGACCUCAGAUCAGGUAGGGAUACCCCCUGAACUUAA